Molecule: small nuclear RNA, 112 nt
Organism: Cebus imitator (Panamanian white-faced capuchin)
Lineage: Eukaryota; Metazoa; Chordata; Mammalia; Primates; Cebidae
Gene: U5
Rfam family: U5 spliceosomal RNA
About the family: U5 RNA is a component of both types of known spliceosome. The precise function of this molecule is unknown, though it is known that the 5' loop is required for splice site selection and p220 binding, and that both the 3' stem-loop and the Sm site are important for Sm protein binding and cap methylation.
Source: Ensembl
AUACUCCAGUUUCUCUUCAGAUUGCAUAAAUCUUUUACCUUUUAUCAAAGAUUUCCAUGGGGAGGAACAUGAGUUUUUAACUAAUUUUUUGAUGCUUUGUUUUGGUAUGGUU